Molecule: ribosomal RNA, 274 nt
Filed under: uncultured bacterium
Lineage: Bacteria
Description: partial 16S ribosomal RNA
Rfam family: Bacterial small subunit ribosomal RNA
Source: RNAcentral
AUACGUAGGUCCCAAGCGUUGCGCGAUCUCACUAGGCGUAAAGCGUCCCCAGCCGGUCCGGUAAGCGGAUUGUCAAAACCCGCGGCUCAACCGCGGUAGGGCAACCCGAACUGCCGGACUUGAGGCAAGCCCAGGCAGGCGGAAUUCCCGGUGUAGCAGUGAAAUGCGUAGAUAUCGGGAGGAACACCAAAGGGGAAGCCAGCCUGCUGGGGCUGCCCUGACGGUCACGGACGAAAGCUGGGGGAGCAAACCGGAUUAGAAACCCUUGUAGUCC